UGCAACCUGAGCUCAGUCGUGACUACCCGCUGAACUUAAGCAUAUCACGCUUAGCGGAGGAAAAAAACUAA
This 71-nucleotide ribosomal RNA is filed under the name Cloacina similis. RNAcentral describes it as "partial 28S ribosomal RNA". The record is from RNAcentral. Lineage: Eukaryota; Metazoa; Nematoda; Chromadorea; Rhabditida; Strongylidae.